This is a long non-coding RNA of Micropterus dolomieu (smallmouth bass), 397 nucleotides long. RefSeq lists it as uncharacterized. The transcript is spliced from 3 exons. The record is from RefSeq and is a predicted model, not a curated record. Lineage: Eukaryota; Metazoa; Chordata; Actinopteri; Centrarchiformes; Centrarchidae.
GUGUUUUUUGGACUCUUAAGUUGCUGUUUAUGUUUUACAAAAAGUUUAAAAGUGAUAAAGACGAGAGCUGUUUCUCAGUCUGCAUUCUUGUCUGUUCUUGUGAAACGUCAUCAGUCUAACCAAGCACAGUCAAAUACCCGGAUGUGUUCUUGCAUCGCGCGUCUUACCGAGCCUGCGGCGGUGGUGACUUGUGUGGAUUAUCCCAAAAAAUGCAUUUCGUCGCCAAAAAGUAGAAAUAUCAGAGGAGAAAACUCACAACUGACUCGACUUCUCUCCUCAGCAUGGAGACCACAGCAGAUCCAGGAAACCGGUUCACUCACCAGUGCAGCAGCUGCGACAACUCCUCGGCCAGAUGUUGGUGUCUGGACUGUAACGAAGCUCUGUGCGACGUCUGCGU